Molecule: ribosomal RNA, 767 nt
Filed under: uncultured Granulicatella sp.
Lineage: Bacteria; Bacillati; Bacillota; Bacilli; Lactobacillales; Carnobacteriaceae
Description: bacterial SSU rRNA
Rfam family: Bacterial small subunit ribosomal RNA
Source: RNAcentral
GACGAACGCNGGCGGCGUGCCUAAUACAUGCAAGUCGAACGAGAGCGACCGGUGCUUGCACUGGUCAAUCUAGUGGCGAACGGGUGAGUAACACGUGGGUAACCUGCCCAUCAGAGGGGGAUAACAUUCGGAAACGGAUGCUAAAACCGCAUAGGUCCUUUAACCGCAUGGUUGAAGGAGGAAAAGAGGCGCAAGCUUCUGCUGAUGGAUGGACCCGCGGUGCAUUAGCUAGUUGGUGAGGUAACGGCUCACCAAGGCCGUGAUGCAUAGCCGACCUGAGAGGGUGAUCGGCCACAUUGGGACUGAGACACGGCCCAAACUCCUACGGGAGGCAGCAGUAGGGAAUCUUCCGCAAUGGACGCAAGUCUGACGGAGCAACGCCGCGUGAGUGAAGAAGGUUUUCGGAUCGUAAAACUCUGUUGUUAGAGAAGAACAAGUGCUAGAGUAACUGUUAGCGCCUUGACGGUAUCUAACCAGAAAGCCACGGCUAACUACGUGCCAGCAGCCGCGGUAAUACGUAGGUGGCAAGCGUUGUCCGGAUUUAUUGGGCGUAAAGCGAGCGCAGGCGGUUCCUUAAGUCUGAUGUGAAAGCCCCCGGCUCAACCGGGGAGGGUCAUUGGAAACUGGGGAACUUGAGUGCAGAAGAGGAGAGUGGAAUUCCAUGUGUAGCGGUGAAAUGCGUAGAUAUAUGGAGGAACACCAGUGGCGAAGGCGACUCUCUGGUCUGUAACUGACGCUGAGGCUCGAAAGCGUGGGUAGCAAACAGG